Non-coding RNA from Microcebus murinus (gray mouse lemur), 1378 nucleotides. The record is from RefSeq and is a predicted model, not a curated record. NCBI's taxonomy places the organism in Eukaryota, Metazoa, Chordata, Mammalia, Primates, Cheirogaleidae.
CAUAUUACCAUUCUACUCGCUGCUUCUUAACAACUUUAUUCUUCUUUACAUAUUCAUCAUUUUAAAAGCCAUCUGUGGAAAUCUUCCUAGAAAAUUACCCCCUGAAGGAACACACUGCUAAUUCAGCUGAUGGAGUCCAGGUUGCCCACCCAAGCUCAUCUCAGACAGCAGUGAAUUUCAACACCAUUGUGAAAAUGGGGCGGCAACAUGAGGUCAGAAGCCCCUGCUAAAGAUGGCAGAGUGGAAAGGAGAAUGCCCGGGACACUGACCCUAUUGUGAAACCAGAGCCCUAAGACUGUCUACCUGCAAACUUCUUGUUACAUGAGCAAAAAUAUAAUAUAUAUUAGAGGAUAAAUAAGCUUGGAAGAAAUAUAUACAAAACACAUUUCUCUUGUUAAGUGGCUGAUAUAAGGGCAGAAGACAUAUGGGAAGGACAGCAGAGCAGAAUGAUAGAAGGUACCAGGGGCAUGUUGAUGUCCUCUGGUCACUGCACAAGCCCCGGACUGUGAAACCCACACUUUUUCUUAUGUAAACAAGAAGAAGAAGAAAAAAUCACUAUUUGGUUUAGUUACCAAGGUGAAGACAUGACAAUCAAGGAUUGUGGUGCUGAUUCUUUACUUAACAACUAGAUGGAAUUUCAAUGCCAGCCUUUACAGGAAAUAAAGAAAUAAAGCUAUUUCAGAGGAAAUUCAACAAAUGCAGCAAAUUCUACUGAGGCCAAUUAUUACAGCUCCAUAAGCUAACACCAGCCUUGAAUGGAACUCUUUAGGAUAAGAAAUAAUUACAUGAUUUCAGAUUGCACUGUUUGCUGAUUUGUGGUUAGUAUCUACUGAGGAGAGAGAUUCAGCAGUAAAGGCUGGGAGAUUAUCACAUACAUGUCCACAUGUUACAAAACACUUUGCAAUAUCAAAUUUCUGGAGAAUGAGAAGCCCAAGAUCAAGAUUGUAGCAGAUUUGGUAUCUGGUGAAAGCCCACUUCCUGAUUCAUAGGUGACCAUCUUCUUGCUGUGUCCUCAUAUGGCAGAAAAGCAAUGAAUGAGAGUUCCUGUUGCUCCACAUCCUCACCAGAAUUUAGUGUUGUCAGCGUUCUGGAUUUUGGUCAUUCUAAUAGAGGACCUCUGAAGGCAUGGCAUGCAUGUUGGAAUCUCUGAUUUUAAUGGAAGAGUCAACACAUGUUUACCACUAUUGGUUCUUUUUCUGCUCAAGAAUUGUGACUACAAAAAUAUCAUUUCACAAAGACCAACAAGAUAGGAACUGAAUGAUCUUGGACUUUCAAAAUCUCUCAUCCACGGUGGCACUAAGCAUCUGGUGACAAGCUGAAGAAUCCUGUAAAGUGUUCAGAUGGUUCAAAUAGUCACAUAAAAAAAAAAUAAACUCAU